GACGGAGGGUGCAAGCGUUGUUCGGAUUGACUGGGCGUAAAGGGCGUGUAGGCGGUUGGUUAAGUCUGGUGUGAAAGCCCGGGGCUCAGCUCCGGAAGUGCAUCGGAAACUGGCCGGCUGGAGCGCGGUAGAGGAGGGUGGAAUUCCUGGUGUAGCGGUGAAAUGCGUAGAUAUCAGGAGGAACACCGGUGGCGAAGGCGGCCCUCUGGACCGUUGCUGACGCUGAGACGCGAAAGCGUGGGGAGCAAACAGG
RNAcentral lists this ribosomal RNA (253 nucleotides) under uncultured organism. Its description in RNAcentral is "partial 16S ribosomal RNA". It matches the Rfam family "Bacterial small subunit ribosomal RNA", at positions 524 to 776 of the family's 1533-position model. The record is from RNAcentral.